RNAcentral lists this ribosomal RNA (433 nucleotides) under uncultured bacterium. RNAcentral's name for it is "partial 16S ribosomal RNA". It matches the Rfam family "Bacterial small subunit ribosomal RNA", at positions 28 to 507 of the family's 1533-position model. The record is from RNAcentral.
GACGAACGCUGGCGGCAGGCUUAACACAUGCAAGUCGAGCGCAUCCUUCGGGGUGAGCGGCGGACGGGUGAGUAACGCGUGGGAACGUGCCCUCUUCUACGGAAUAGCCUCGGGAAACUGAGAGUAAUGCCGUAUACGCCCGCAAGGGGAAAGAUUUAUCGGAGGAGGAUCGGCCCGCGUUGGAUUAGGUAGUUGGUGGGGUAACGGCCUACCAAGCCGACGAUCCAUAGCUGGUUUGAGAGGAUGAUCAGCCACACUGGGACUGAGACACGGCCCAGACUCCUACGGGAGGCAGCAGUGGGGAAUCUUGGACAAUGGGGGCAACCCUGAUCCAGCCAUGCCGCGUGAUCGAUGAAGGCCUUAGGGUUGUAAAGAUCUUUCAGCUGGGAAGAUAAUGACGGUACCAGCAGAAGAAGCCCCGGCUAACUCCGUG